GUCUGUGGCCGUAACACCCUGAAUGUGUCCAAUCUCAUUUGAUCUUGGAACUAAGAAGGGUAGGGCCUGGUUAGUACUUGGAUGGGAGAUGGGGUAUUGCUGUGCUACCCAGGCUGCUCUUGAAC
RNAcentral lists this ribosomal RNA (125 nucleotides) under Carlito syrichta (Philippine tarsier). The record is from RNAcentral. Lineage: Eukaryota; Metazoa; Chordata; Mammalia; Primates; Tarsiidae.